UGGGGAAUAUUGGACAAUGGGGGAAACCCUGAUCCAGCCAUGCCGCGUGUGUGAAGAAGGCCUUUUGGUUGUAAAGCACUUUAAGCAGUGAAGAAGACUCCAUGGUUAGUACCCAUGGACGAUGACAUUAGCUGCAGAAUAAGCACCGGCUAUCUCUGUGCCAGCAGCCGCGGUAAUACAGAGGGUGCAAGCGUUAAUCGGAAUUACUGGGCGUAAAGCGAGCGUAGGUUGCUUGAUAAGUCAGAUGUGAAAGCC
RNAcentral lists this ribosomal RNA (255 nucleotides) under uncultured bacterium. RNAcentral's name for it is "partial 16S ribosomal RNA". It matches the Rfam family "Bacterial small subunit ribosomal RNA", at positions 355 to 602 of the family's 1533-position model. The record is from RNAcentral.